GAUGAACGCUGGCGGCGUGCCUAAUACAUGCAAGUCGAGCGAACGGACGAGAAGCUUGCUUCUCUGAUGUUAGCGGCGGACGGGUGAGUAACACGUGGAUAACCUACCUAUAAGACUGGGAUAACUUCGGGAAACCGGAGCUAAUACCGGAUAAUAUUUUGAACCGCAUGGUUCAAAAGUGAAAGACGGUCUUGCUGUCACUUAUAGAUGGAUCCGCGCUGCAUUAGCUAGUUGGUAAGGUAACGGCUUACCAAGGCAACGAUGCAUAGCCGACCUGAGAGGGUGAUCGGCCACACUGGAACUGAGACACGGUCCAGACUCCUACGGGAGGCAGCAGUAGGGAAUCUUCCGCAAUGGGCGAAAGCCUGACGGAGCAACGCCGCGUGAGUGAUGAAGGUCUUCGGAUCGUAAAACUCUGUUAUUAGGGAAGAACAUAUGUGUAAGUAACUGUGCACAUCUUGACGGUACCUAAUCAGAAAGCCACGGCUAUCUACGUGCCAGCAGCCGCGGUAAUACGUAGGUGGCAAGCGUUAUCCGGAAUUAUUGGGCGUAAAGCGCGCGUAGGCGGUUUUUUAAGUCUGAUGUGAAAGCCCACGGCUCAACCGUGGAGGGUCAUUGGAAACUGGAAAACUUGAGUGCAGAAGAGGAAAGUGGAAUUCCAUGUGUAGCGGUGAAAUGCGCAGAGAUAUGGAGGAACACCAGUGGCGAAGGCGACUUUCUGGUCUGUAACUGACGCUGAUGUGCGAAAGCGUGGGGAUCGAACAGGAUUAGAUACCCUGGUAGUCCACGCCGUAAACGAUGAGUGCUAAGUGUUAGGGGGUUUCCGCCCCUUAGUGCUGCAGCUAACGCAUUAAGCACUCCGCCUGGGGAGUACGACCGCAAGGUUGAAACUCAAAGGAAUUGACGGGGACCCGCACAAGCGGUGGAGCAUGUGGUUUAAUUCGAAGCAACGCGAAGAACCUUACCAAAUCUUGACAUCCUUUGACAACUCUAGAGAUAGAGCCUUCCCCUUCGGGGGACAAAGUGACAGGUGGUGCAUGGUUGUCGUCAGCUCGUGUCGUGAGAUGUUGGGUUAAGUCCCGCAACGAGCGCAACCCUUAAGCUUAGUUGCCAUCAUUAAGUUGGGCACUCUAAGUUGACUGCCGGUGACAAACCGGAGGAAGGUGGGGAUGACGUCAAAUCAUCAUGCCCCUUAUGAUUUGGGCUACACACGUGCUACAAUGGACAAUACAAAGGGCAGCGAAACCGCGAGGUCAAGCAAAUCCCAUAAAGUUGUUCUCAGUUCGGAUUGUAGUCUGCAACUCGACUACAUGAAGCUGGAAUCGCUAGUAAUCGUAGAUCAGCAUGCUACGGUGAAUACGUUCCCGGGUCU
This 1372-nucleotide ribosomal RNA is filed under the name uncultured bacterium. Its description in RNAcentral is "bacterial SSU rRNA". It matches the Rfam family "Bacterial small subunit ribosomal RNA", at positions 28 to 1381 of the family's 1533-position model. The record is from RNAcentral.